AUACGGAGGGUGCAAGCGUUAUUCGGAAUCACUGGGCGUAAAGGACGCGUAGGCGGGUUGGCAAGUCAGAUGUGAAAUCCUACAGCUUAACUGUAGAACUGCAUUUGAAACUGCUAACCUAGAGUAUGGGAGGGGGAGAUGGAAUUAGUGGUGUAGGGGUAAAAUCCGUAGAUAUCACUAGGAACACCGAAAGCGAAGGCGAUCUCCUGGAACAUAACUGACGCUAAGGCGUGAAAGCGUGGGGAGCAAACAGGAUUAGAAACCCUAGUAGUCC
Molecule: ribosomal RNA, 274 nt
Filed under: uncultured bacterium
Lineage: Bacteria
Description: partial 16S ribosomal RNA
Rfam family: Bacterial small subunit ribosomal RNA
Source: RNAcentral